AUUUUAUCUCCUGCUUGUAGGUUUUAACUGGUUAUUAGUUUUCUUCAUGUGUUUUGGAAUUUUGGCAUGCAGGUUCAUUUUGCAUUGUUGUUUUCCUCUUUCUUUUUAUUCCUUGGUCUUGCUUUCUUUCUGGGCUAAUCCUACCCUCAGUAGUCAUUUUGUGGUUGCCUAAUACAGAUGUGAUUGCUAAUAUAGAGCCAGGUCUUAUGUUGAGGGCUUGGGCUCCAGCCCUGUGGUGAUACUAAAGAGAGAGUAAAUCCUAUCACCAAGGAAGUAGGGAAGUUGGUCCUGGGUUUGGGACUACAUCUUCAUUCUUUCACUGCCAUUGGUAAGUGACUAUAAGUAAGGAAUAGAAACAGAAAGUGAUUAAUGGAAACAUUUUUAGUCUUUUUUUUUUGGCAGAAAAUCUUGCUCCAGUCCCUAGAUUUGAGCAGUAAACUCAUCUCAGGUCCCAUUGGAUUGACAGCUUCAUCCAACUUCUUGGUUGAGAUUGUAUCACAUGUAUGGAGCUGUAAUGGAAAAGAACAUUUUCAUCUACUGCUGUCAUAUUGCAGAAACUAUAUUGGAUUUGAAAUCAAGCCAUCUGAUUUGAGGAAUAGUUCCAUCCCAUAAUGGACAUAUAAUCUUCAGUAAGUUACUUGACUUCUUUAAAACUUGGAUUUCUCUUCUUUAAAUUGGGGCCAUGUGACUUCAGAAAUAUGAAUAGAACUGAAGCAUUUGAGAGCUUGUGCAUAAUUCUCCAAUCGCCUGCCAUGUGACUAUUGAUGUUCCAGGUGGCAGAGUCUCCAUCAGCCUGUGUCCCUGAGUGAUGGUACUACAAUGGACAUGUAAGAGAAUCCUGUGUGCCAUUAGCAAGAAGCUAGCUUUUUAAUGUUAGAUCACUGAAUUUUGGGGGUUAUGUGUUACUGUGACAUAACCUUGCCUAUACUAGCUAAUAUAAAGAGAAGAAAAGAAAUAAGGCAGAAACUGGAAGAAAAUGUAAGUCUUAAAGAGGAUAAUUUUUGGAUGAAGAAAGUUGAACCUACUUACAGGCUGAAGAGAUGGAGCUAAUAGAGAAGGACACAUUGAAUCUAUGGGAGAGAGUAUGGGAGAUCACUGAAUGAUCAACGUCCAGAGAGGCAGGCUGGCUUUAAACAGGAGGAGAGAGACUUCACCUCUGAGGCUGGAUGAAAAGAAGUAAGGAUGAGAGGAUGGAGAUGCUUGUAGAUUGUGGGGUGAGAUGUUGAGGAAACUCACCCUGAUCACUCAUUUUUUUUGGUUAAGCAUUAGGUAAGCUUAUCUGCUAAGAGGUGGGAAGAUGUGACUUGGAUAAAAAGAACUAGAGGAAGUUGGGCCAGUAAAGAUUUGAAAUGGUUGCUAAUGAGAAUGAGAAAGGUAGCUGACCAAGGACAAAUAAAGAUCCUGUCCAUCUCUUGCACUCAGUUGUGAGUUCCUUGAGGGCAUAGGCUGUGUCUUUAUCCCUCUAUAUUCUCAAUAUCAAACACAGUGUCUGACAUACUGGGAGUGCUCAAGAAAUUCUUGCCAAAAAUGUGACUGCCAGUCAUUGUUAUUUGAUUCAUAGUUUUGGCAUUGAAUGGCUGGUUUUUUUUCCCUUUCUCUUAAAAUAUCAGCUUGCCCUAGGCCUACACUUACUUGUUCCCUAUAAAAUUGUUAUUAAAAGCAACAAAAACAAAAUCCAGUUCCCACUUGGAACACUAAAUUCCAAACACCCAGGAAGCAAAUGCACAGACAGAGUAAGCCUCUGAUUAGUUAUGUUCCUGCCGCUGUAUUUGAAACUCUUUCAUUGGUGAUGGCAACUUUUCAAAAGAAAAUUUAACAGAGAAGCGUUCAUCAUGUUAAGUUCUCAUCCAAGGCAGUUAGCAUUGGAAUGCAUUUGCAGUGUGAAUUACAGUUAACAUUCUAAAGAGAUGUGAAUUUUUAGGAUGCCUGAUGUUGGCAAUUAAACUUUGGAGGAGUUAACACCAUGGCCCCAUUUUUAAUAAAGUGUGUGCAUUUAAAAAAACUUAAAAAAAUUGCCAAAAUAAUGCGUGCCUAUUGUAACCAUAAAACAAUGUAAACAUAUAAAAAGAAUAAGUUACAAAUGUCCGCCUUCUUCAUGCCUAUCCAUUGGAGAUGAUGAUGACAGCUUGAUGUGUAUUCUUUUUAUGCUUUUCUCUAUGCUUAUACAAAUGUGGAGCUGUAAGCAGAACUUUGUGUUAUUGUCUUAUGUUUUACUAAAACUACAUUCAUUGCUCUGCAACUUGCAUAUAUAAUUGUAAAAUAUAUCAUGGAUAAUUCCCCCAGAUUAAUUACUAUAGGUCUAAUUGUAUACUCCAAUGUAUUAAAUUAUGUCCCUAUUCAUGAAGACUCAGAUUUACUAGUUUUCGGUAGCUUUAAAUAAAGCUGCAAUAAAUGUCCUUGGAUGUACCCCUUCAGGUUUAUUUAUUUC
This 2428-nucleotide long non-coding RNA is filed under the name Homo sapiens (human). Its description in RNAcentral is "HSALNT0190583". The record is from RNAcentral. Lineage: Eukaryota; Metazoa; Chordata; Mammalia; Primates; Hominidae.